UUUUUUUUUUUUUAAAUGCCAAAUACACUUUCUGACAUUGUAAAGAUUGCCUUACUGUCUGUGAUUCCUUAUUCCUGGCCCCUGUCCUGUAGAGCUGGUCGCAUGCAGGCUUGGUCUGAGGCAGCUGGGGACAAGAGUGGCUAGCCAAGGCAGGCAUGCACUUGCCAUCCCACUGGCCAGGCGAGCUUAGGGAGCAGGAGGGCUUUCUCCCAGAAGCGCGUGGCUCGGGGUGCGAUGGAAGAUCCUCCAGAUCCAGUCCCAAAUUGCUCACUGUUUCUCAAGGGAAGUUGCCACCAGAGUAGCAUGUGGAGAGGUGUCCAAGAGGCGCUGUUGAGUUAGGGAUUUCUGGGUUUGUUUGGUUUUGGUUUGGUGUUUUGUUUUUUUUUAGUUUGUUUUUUGUUUUCUGUUUUUUUUUUUUCCAAGGCAAAGUUGACCGCAGUUCUUGUGAUCAGUUCUAAGAUUACAAAACUGCAUUUAUUCACCAGUUACAUACCAUAACGUGGAAUUUUGAUAAUGAACUUAGUUACGUGAUUGGUGAAGGUGCCAAUGUAGCACUGCCAUUUUUGAAGGUCUUCAGUGUCAUUUGUGGGGCUUUUGUGUAUUUGGACAAAGCUGGGGAUGUGGGGAAGAGACUUUAUUUUAUUUUACUUUAAUUUUCAGAUAGUGCAUAUGGAUUUUGAUUUUGCUUACCAGUCACCUCUAGUGCUGUUGCUAUUGUUACUAUCGCUGACCCGGUAUUUCCAAGUAGUGGCAGGUACGGUGUGGUACAGUGACAGCAGUGACUGAGGCUCUGCCAAAUUGCCCGCGGGCAUAUCAGUGACAGCCCAAAUGUGGGUGGAGGAAACCUGUAAUUUCCUUAUUACGUAUGCUUGAAACAAACCUACUGCUAUUCUUUGAAAAUGAAAAUAUAAACUGGUUGAAAUGAAAGCAAUUAGGGCUGUACAUAAUGGCCCUGGCCCUGCCUUUUAAGCUACUUUGGAGAACUCUUUUGUAAAGCCACUUCUUUUGAUCACGCUUCUGCAUCACCAAGCAGACUUCUAAAAUCAAUAAAUCAUUGGUUACUAGAAAUAGUUCAAGUCUAAUAGUGAUGUUUUUGUGCUGUUUAUAGUUCAUUGGCAACACUGCAGCUGUACGAGCCCUUCUGUCGAGGUGUUUAUAACUUGGUUAUUUGCGGUUGUUUCUGAGCAAAAAGGUGGCGAGGUCAUCCCUUUCCAGGGACCAGCUAAUAAACACUUCCAGUAUCAGAAGAGGAGGAGGAGAAAUCGUUUCAGCCAACUAUAAAAUUCAAGAUUUUUGGGUGCUUUUUACUCAACUGUUCUUAUUGUGAUAAUGUUCAAACUGCAAUUUAAUGCAGAGGAGUUUUUUUUGGUUUUUUUUUUUUAAGACUAAUUUUUUUAAAAAAGAAAAGAAAUGGUCAUUAUUAGUAUUUGAAGAUCAGAACUGCACAUGCACAGUAAUUUUCUAUGAAGUGUUUAAUGAGCACACCCACUACAUUGUGUUCCAUAUUACAGGUCAAUGUAAUAUUAGAUAAGACUUGCAUGAUAAACAAAUUCAUUGAGUCAAUAUUACGCUUUAAAACUUAUAGUCAAGAUUGGUGUCUUAUGUAAACACAUUUAGCCAAUUUGAAGAAAACGCACAUUAUAUAUAUAUACAUACCUAUAUAUAUACCUAUAUAUAAAAAAAUGCCAACUGUAAAGGAUUCUUUGGAACCACUAUGAUCUGUGUAAAUGUGUAUUUAGGCACUUUAUUAAAAAAAUGGAAUUUGAGCUGAUAGAUGGUAACAAGUUCUUCAAAGUUGCUUGGCAUAAUACCUUACAUGGGAUGAAGUUCAUGGUUUUGAUAAAGGCGGUGUCCCUGCGCUUAAAAAAAGAAGCAAAAACUGAAUUCCAAAGCCUGCCUAAAAGAGCCCCCCCCUUUUGUGUCAUCAGGUGUCCCAGCUGUGAGCGUGCUGAGGGUGAGACCUGCUCCUGACAAAGCACAUCCUUGUUUUGGGGCAGAGGGACAUUGGCGUGAGAGGCCUGUAGGGAAGCACACCUUCCUCCUCCUGCCAGCCGCCCGCUCCUGCAGCUCUGUGACUCCUGGAGAGGAUGGAAACUCCCCAGCCGCUGAUGCCAGGCACUGGCCCAGAAACAACAUAGAUGGAAAAGAAAUGGCACACGGUGGCCAUGCUCACUCAGCUGACUUUGAGCCCCCAGCCAAGUCUAACCUCCACCAUAAAACUUCAGAACUGCAAAAGAAAAACAAACAAAAUGAAACAAAAUAACAAACAAAAAAAGAAUUAAAAAAAUUUGAGGGUGUUCAUACAUAGCUCAUUUUUCUCACAUUGAAUGUUGCUUUUUCUUUUUGGUUGCUUUGCUCAAUUACAGUAAUAUUCCAGUGGAUUCUUCCUUUAUUACUACUUCCUGGGCUACAAUUUUUUUCUUUUUUUUUUUUUCCUAUUAUUUUGAAGUGCUUUAGCUGCAACAGUGCUACUGUUAAUACUCCUUUUUAAACUUUUUAAAAGGUGAUACUGUAACUUGUGUAGUAUUAAAAGUGUUUUAAUGAAGAAUGUGUGAUUACAAUUUUUUUUCCUAACCCACUUCCAUUACUUUUUUUUUUCAAAGUUACUUUUUCCUGGCAGAUUUUUUUUCAACUGCACGGUGCUUUUGUUGAUAGCUGCUGAACUAACCUGCUGCCAGUUUGGCAUUUUAUAGGUUUUCUUAUUCUUUUUUUUUUUCUUUUAUGACACUAAGCAUAAGGAAACUAGGAAUUUCAAAUACUUUCUGCAUUUUUUUUUGUAUCUCUAACAAAAGGAAGAAAGAAAACUUGAAAAAGCUAUAGUUGUAGAAUAUUAUUUAAUUUUUUUUUCAUACUGUCCUGACAUUUAUUUGUAAACAGACAGCAGUGUGGGACAAGAAGGGAUGCAUGGAGCUGGUGGGUGCUGCCCAGUGCCUGGGUCCCAGGGGGUGGGAAAGGUGCCACACAAGGGAAGCUUUGACCGCCUUUGCAGUGGCCUCAGAAAACCUGGUAUGUUUGAGAGCUCUCUGUUUGGACGUGCUGUAAACCAGGCCAUGGCAACCGCGUGUUUUUAUGAACCAGCACUUAGGCAAAGGGUAUAAAUACAUUUGAGAGUGCUCUCUAGUGGCUUGUUAUGUCAACAGAGCCCCUGGAUCCUUUCCUUCUGCACCCGGGCCAAGCCCUGCUUGCCUGUCCAGCUGGCAGGGCGGCGGCUCUCAGUGGGACAGGAUGGGACACGGCUCUGGGGACACCCAGCCACCCGUCCGCCUGUACGGGGGCACCUGCCCUGCUUGUUGCCCCCACUCCAUGUGCACAACUUGCCCCAAAUGUGGGACAAUGUGCAAUGUGGGACACCCCAUGUGCAGUGCAGCAUGUUAUGGUGCAGCUGCAGUGCCCACACCAAGACAGUGUCUCCUCAGGAAACACGUGGAAAUGAAUGGCACCAGGGGUGGCUGAGCUACUUGGAGCCCCGACUCUCCUGCUUCACUCCAACGGGACUAUGUCCAGUUAUUAGGCUUAAAAAGGUUCAGCCCACAGCAUUUCAUGUUUCUCCUCCUUGAGCAUUUGCAUUGAGGUAGCUGCAUCUUUUGAAAAAUAAUUGAAAAAAAACCCCAAGCUCAAUCACCACCUCUCCUCAAGUGAACUCUUGUCUCUAGAGAUGCCAUAGGUCCAGCCCAGUAUAAACUAACUGCAGUAUAAACUAACUCCCAUAAUGAGGCAAAUUAAAAAAGAGAAAGAAAGAAAGAAAAGAAAAAAGAAAAGAAAAA
RNAcentral lists this long non-coding RNA (3764 nucleotides) under Taeniopygia guttata (zebra finch). RNAcentral's name for it is "lncRNA (ENSTGUG00000019238.1)". The record is from RNAcentral. Lineage: Eukaryota; Metazoa; Chordata; Aves; Passeriformes; Estrildidae.